UGUAGCACAUCUCAGGGAUCUGCAAAUCCCUCAAUAAAUAGUUCUCCUCCACAGUGCACGCGUAUGGAUAGUCUGUGGGGUUGUAGUAAUGCGUGUAAUCGGGGGCAGAGAAGCUCUCCUGCUGGCCUGGCCAACAGUGGGGCAGGCAGUAACAGUCCUGGAGGUUGCAGUGCGGGUAGUGCUCUGAGGAGAAGCCGUGAUGGCUGGACUCCAUCCUGGUGGGCGAGUCGUAGCAGGAGGAGGAGGAGGAGGAGGAGAACGAGUCCUGCGGCGAGUAGCUGUCGUGAUCUACGGGGCUGCAGAGCUUCCGUGACUCUGGCGGGGAGCCGGGAGCCUGAAAGAGAAGAAGACGUGCAGGAUGGAGAAAAGGCAACUAAAAAGUGAUAUCCAGAUGAAAAUCCAACUUGAAAACUCACCAGACAUGAUCUCUGCAGCUCCUCUUCUCCUGCAGCCGCGGUGCUCAGGCGCCACCUAGUGCUCAAACACCACCACGUCCCAUACCCCUUUGGACAUGAAGCCAACCUGAACAGUCCGUCCAGCAUUGAAGCCUAAUGACAUGUUUACUGCAACUGAUGAGAAUGAUAUAGAUACACACACACACACACACACACGCACCAACACACACACACACACACACACACACACACACACACACACACACACACACACACACACACAUACACAUAUACAAAUAUAUACAGGGGCUGAGCAGAGAUAUAUAGUUUAAGGAUUGUUUGAUUUUUACUGCGACUACAGUUGAUUUCUGGGAAAAGGAAAAACAUUGAGCUCACAGAAAAAUAAACCAUGACAAAUGAGUCAAAAGUGAGUGUUAAGACAAUAAACUUGAACAUGUCCGAUACACAUUUGUGAGUUGCUUGAUAAAAAAGUUCCAGGAAAGACAAUGUCUUAACAUGUAAAAAUCGUAUAUUAUAAUUUUGUGUUUAUGUCUAUGUAGCAUCUAUAACAGAUGUAUAAAGAUUUGACGAAUGUUUGAUAUCAUUUGAUUUAUCUAAUCAUGUCAUCAGUAGUUUCACACAUACAUUCUAAGAACUGGCCUGUGAACAAUCUGUAUACGUGUACAUAAUAAAUGAUUGCUAACACAUCUUAAA
Molecule: long non-coding RNA, 1109 nt
Organism: Pleuronectes platessa (European plaice)
Lineage: Eukaryota; Metazoa; Chordata; Actinopteri; Pleuronectiformes; Pleuronectidae
Exons: 3
Source: RefSeq, a predicted model, not a curated record